UACGAAGGGGACUAGCGUUGCUCGGAAUCACUGGGCGUAAAGGGCGCGUAGGCGGCUCAUGAAGGCUGUGGUGAAAGUCCGGGGCUCAACCUCGGAUCGGCCGUGGCGACUCGUGGGCUGGAGCACUGUAGAGGCGGGUGGAAUUCCGGGUGUAGCGGUGGAAUGCGUAGAGAUCCGGAAGAACACCAGUGGCGAAGGCGGCCCGCUGGGCAGUGGCUGACGCUGAGGCGCGACAGCGUGGGGAGCAAACAGG
This 253-nucleotide ribosomal RNA is filed under the name uncultured bacterium. Its description in RNAcentral is "partial 16S ribosomal RNA". It matches the Rfam family "Bacterial small subunit ribosomal RNA", at positions 524 to 776 of the family's 1533-position model. The record is from RNAcentral.